UUCCGUAGGUGAACCUGCGGAGGGAUCGUUACCUAGAGUUGUAGGCUUUGCCUGCUAUCUCUUACCCAUGUCUUUUGAGUACCUUCGUUUCCUCGGCGGGUCCGCCCGCCGAUUGGACAAAACUUAAACCCUUUGCAGUUGCAAUCAGCGUCUGAAAAGACUUAAUAGUUACAACUUUCAACAACGGAUCUCUUGGUUCUGGCAUCGAUGAAGAACGCAGCGAAAUGCGAUAAGUAGUGUGAAUUGCAGAAUUCAGUGAAUCAUCGAAUCUUUGAACGCACAUUGCGCCCCUUGGUAUUCCAUGGGGCAUGCCUGUUCGAGCGUCAUUUGUACCUUCAAGCUCUGCUUGGUGUUGGGUGUUUGUCUCGCCUCUGCGUGUAGACUCGCCUCAAAACAAUUGGCAGCCGGCGUAUUGAUUUCGGAGCGCAGUACAUCUCGCGCUUUGCACUCAUAACGACGACGAUCCAAAAGUACAUUUUUACACUCUUGACCUCGGAUCAGGUAGGGAUACCCGCUGAACUUAAGCAUAUCAAUAAGCGGGGAA
Molecule: ribosomal RNA, 544 nt
Filed under: Phoma sp. 8306
Lineage: Eukaryota; Fungi; Ascomycota; Dothideomycetes; Pleosporales; Didymellaceae
Description: eukaryotic LSU rRNA
Rfam family: 5.8S ribosomal RNA (bases 173-326)
Source: RNAcentral